Molecule: long non-coding RNA, 2503 nt
Organism: Bactrocera oleae (olive fruit fly)
Lineage: Eukaryota; Metazoa; Arthropoda; Insecta; Diptera; Tephritidae
Source: RefSeq, a predicted model, not a curated record
CAGUGGAAUGUAAGGCAGGUCGCCUCCACGCGGUGCAUUCUGGGUAACGCUAAAUGACCUGCGGCCUUCACGGCCUGUUAGACUACUACGGAUAUUUAACCCUGGAAUGACAUGGACUUUGCAUAUAUGACUUUUAUUGGAUCUGGUUGAAUCCUGGGCUGGUGGCCGAAGUAUUCCGUUACUUCAGUAUGUAGGGGUGACACCCUGCAGAAAUGGCUGGCGGGCUAAUGCUGAGGCUGCCUCCGUCCCGUUAAAACCCUGGCAGGCCUCAGAGUACGUUCCUUUCCCGUCAUCAUUAAGUUGGUGUGGUAGGUGCAGGUUGAGAUGACUCCUCUUUACGCUGGUCGGCUCUGAACGCAUAGCUUCAUAAGGGCAUGCGUCAACCCUCGCCUUGGCCUCGUAAAUGAGAUAACCUUGGGACCAUCAAAAGCGACUACCUUUCUGGGAAGUGGAUAGCGGCUCUGAGUGGGGACCCAUGAAACAUGAAUACUAAAACUCAAAACAAAUGGACGAGGGAGAAGGUAGGUGGGAACCAACCUAUUCAAAAUUAGACAAUGUCUCAGGAUGGCUGUCAUUACCUAUGCGGACGGAACCGUUCUACACAAGAGGUAAUGCAAGUAUCUCCACAGAAACGUGGCUACUUCCCGCAGGAGGCGGUAAUUCAACGGGAGUAAACUGGAGCUUGCCCACAAGUAAUCCAAGUAAAGUUAAGGUGCGAGACGAAAUCGUCAGCAGGAGCAGAAGAAAAUCUGCUACGACUACUAGUAGUUCGCGAACCUCAGCAAACGCUAAGGGUACUGGUAAGAAAUACGUGUCAGCAGCUAGAAAGCUGAGGUCGGAUCGUCGCAUGGCAACUAAGAUUUUACUGCGCUAUGGGGGCAAAACACUGAGCAAGAUUCUGAGCGAUGCUAGCACACUGGAGUGGGCUAAACGGGUACUGAGCGGUGGAGAAACCAAGCGAACAGGAUCGAGAGAGGCUCAGUCUGUGGUAAAGCGGCAGAGGUUGCAUAAGGGGAAGAUCCCUCAGCAAAAGGCACGGACAGGAGCGGCAUUAACGUUUAACGAAAACGCAAAACACUUCGGUCCAAUAGAACUUUGUGUUUUGACCGCAGCAGAGAAGAUGGAAUCAUUUCCCGGGAGGAGUGGAAACGGGUAGCGGCGGCAAUAUCAGCGGUUUUUAUGAAGGUGGUCAGUGGAAAUCCUGGGCCACCGCCGACGUGUGAGAGUGCCGUUGGUACCAUGGACUGCACAAGCUUAUCAGAUGUGCCGACGAACGGUCGGCUUCCAUUUAUAAGGAAGCUGUAGCCAGAGUGGGGAAAUUUGGAAAGGAGCAAGAAUCGAGGCGAUUAUUAAAACGAUCUUCCACUCCGCCCUCGUGCUCGUGUCUGGCUCCCAGCUGAGCCCUCUAGUCCUGACGAAAUUGAAGAGAUAUUGCGUUAUUGCAAUCCUUCUCUACCAACUCACAACUGGAGGGUGAUCAGGUUAGAGAGUACUCAGAAACCAUAUCGGCAAGUGCUGAUACUCAUAAACAAGGAAUCACUCGAUCCUCUUAACCACGCAAAAGGAGUCAUAAACUAUGGUUUCGAGAAAGUUGUUCUCCAGAUUCUACCGAAAGACGUCAGGACGAUGAUCCGCAGACUUCAUAUGUUUGUAUGUUUGAAGAAGUUGGUGAGAAUCUCGCACUUUCAGGUUUCAACUUAUAUUCCACAUGACGACAACGUAGCCGCUUUCGCUUUUGCAAGUUCGGAUGCGAACUUGAGGCGCUUGGUCUGAGAGGUCGGAGACAUAAUUGCUAAAGAAGAGUCUGGUAAGAGGAAGUGGUGAAAUUUGCAUGAACAGUAAACAAAAUAUUUAUUAAUAUUAAAAUCGGCGCUUCACAAGACUAAUCAGCAAUAUAUAUAUAUACUAGAAAGUGCGGUAUUUCAAAAGACUGUUUUUCCUUAGAUACUUAUAUAGUGUCCAGAGAGCAGUUAGUAAUUUGUCGGUGGUGGUGCAAUUGAAGCAGAUAAUGUUAUGGUAAAUACCGAAGUAAUCGGAAAAAUAUAAUACUACUGCCGCUGAAUCAAGUAAUUAAAUGCGAAAUACUGAAGUAAAAACCACCGGACCAUCUUUUGUUGAGUCAUUCAAGCCUCCUGGUGGUCGAAAUAGUAUAAGGAUUAAUGAAAUGAAUCCAUGGAAUUGACAUUGAGCUUGCUUUACUAGAAAUACCAGCACCUUUUUUGAGGUCUCUACUUCUAUUCAUCAAGAACUUGGAUCCGAUACGACGUCUUCGAAUAAGGACUAAAUUUCAACGCAUAUGAUUACAGGAAAUGAAAGCUGUUGAAGGGCAAGAUAUUCAUGCAUCUUUCAGGACUAUGUCUUCUGCUUUUUCUGACUUACCGUUACCUGAUUCACCUAUCUUUAGUGUUUAUUAACAAACGGUUCCAACUUUAUGAGCAAUUAGUCAGACCUACAUCUACAAAUACAAUUCAAAAUUUAAAUAAACAAUUAAAAACUUAAAAAA